Parelaphostrongylus tenuis is the source of this 74-nucleotide non-coding RNA. Lineage: Eukaryota; Metazoa; Nematoda; Chromadorea; Rhabditida; Metastrongylidae. The record is from the annotation of a GenBank genome assembly.
GCCUCGGUGGUGUAGUGGUUAGAGCAUGCGUCCCCGGAUAGGAUGAAACACGGGUUCGAUUCCCGCCUGAGGCC